CAGUAGCCGCGGUAAUACGGAGGGUGCAAGCGUUAAUCGGAAUUACUGGGCGUAAAGAGUGCGUAGGUGGUUUGGUAAGUUAUCUGUGAAAUCCCUGGGCUCAACCUGGGCAGGUCAGAUAAUACUGCUGAACUCGAGUAUGGGAGAGGGUAGUGGAAUUUCCGGUGUAGCGGUGAAAUGCGUAGAGAUCGGAAGGAACACCAGUGGCGAAGGCGGCUACCUGGCCUAAUACUGACACUGAGGCACGAAAGCGUGGGGAGCAAACAGGAUUAGAUACCCCCGUAGUCCCUGUCUCUUAUAC
This 301-nucleotide ribosomal RNA is filed under the name uncultured bacterium. Its description in RNAcentral is "partial 16S ribosomal RNA". It matches the Rfam family "Bacterial small subunit ribosomal RNA", at positions 509 to 807 of the family's 1533-position model. The record is from RNAcentral.